CCUACGGGAGGCAGCAGUGAGGAAUAUUGGUCAAUGGGCGAGAGCCUGAACCAGCCAAGUAGCGUGCAGGACGACGGCCCUAUGGGUUGUAAACUGCUUUUAUGCGGGGAUAAAACGCGGGACGUGUCCCGCCUUGCAGGUACCGCAUGAAUAAGGACCGGCUAAUUCCGUGCCAGCAGCCGCGGUAAUACGGAAGGUCCGGGCGUUAUCCGGAUUUAUUGGGUUUAAAGGGAGCGUAGGCCGCUUUGUAAGCGUGUUGUGAAAUUUGCCGGCUCAACCGGUAACUUGCAGCGCGAACUGCAGAGCUUGAGUGUGCGCAACGUUGGCGGAAUUCGUCGUGUAGCGGUGAAAUGCUUAGAUAUGACGAAGAACUCCGAUUGCGAAGGCAGCUGACGGGAGCACUACUGACGCUGAAGCUCGAAAGUGCGGGUAUCGAACAGGAUUAGAUACCCUGGUAGUCCGCACGGUAAACGAUGGAUGCCCGCUGUUUGCACAUAGUUGCAAGCGGCCAAGCGAAAGCGUUAAGCAUCCCACCUGGGGAGUACGCCGGCAACGGUGAAACUCAAAUGAAUUGACGGGGA
RNAcentral lists this ribosomal RNA (581 nucleotides) under uncultured bacterium. Its description in RNAcentral is "bacterial SSU rRNA". It matches the Rfam family "Bacterial small subunit ribosomal RNA", at positions 338 to 919 of the family's 1533-position model. The record is from RNAcentral.